This is a long non-coding RNA of Peromyscus leucopus (white-footed mouse), 560 nucleotides long. RefSeq lists it as uncharacterized. The record is from RefSeq and is a predicted model, not a curated record. Lineage: Eukaryota; Metazoa; Chordata; Mammalia; Rodentia; Cricetidae. The transcript has 2 exons.
UUCCUCCUGAACCCAACCUGUGUUUCCCUGUCACAGUUUUUCAAAGACACAGAGACACCCACAGACUCACAAACCACUUCACCCUGUCAACAAAUGUCCCCUGAUAUUGUUUUGCCAUGUCAAGUACUAUGGUAAAUUCUUCUGAUGUGUUAUAUACAACAACCUUCACUUCAAUGCAUGAAUUAUUCUUUGAAUUUCCCGACCAUUAAACUUUUCAGAUAUGGGGAAUUGGAUCUGAAUUCACUGCCUUGACUAUGAAUUUCAAUCUUAUGCUAUGUCUUGCCUUGAAGUCAGAAGAACCUCCUUCAAGCUGAGAGCAAAGUAGCACCUUAAAUUCCAGCAAAAGAAACCAGCCUCACUAAAGAAUUAUGGGACAUCUAUGUGAGAACCACUGUUUCAUUUGGAAUCCCAAGAGAAAAUAUAUGAGAUAUCCUCAAAAAUGGAUAAAUAAUUGUGUUUUGCAACUAGAACAUUGUUCUAAAAUAAGAGAAAAUAAUGAAAUUUCUUGAUUUCCAUUUCCAUUCCUGAAAAACUGAAGUAAAAAUUAUUGAGUAAAUGAA